CGAUGUACACUAGGUGUCUGGCAACAAAGCUGGGUGCCAAAGCAAACGUGGUAAGUGUACCGCCUGGGGAGUAUGCCCGCAAGGGUGAAACUCAAAGGAAUUGACGGGGGCCCGCACAAGCGGUGGAGCAUGUGGUUUAAUUCGAUGGUACGCGAGGAACCUUACCUGGGUUUGACAUAGUACUUAAGUUCGUAGAGAUACGGAUGCGUAGCAAUACGAAGUACAACAGGUGCUGCAUGGCUGUCGUCAG
This 250-nucleotide ribosomal RNA is filed under the name uncultured bacterium. Its description in RNAcentral is "partial 16S ribosomal RNA". It matches the Rfam family "Bacterial small subunit ribosomal RNA", at positions 807 to 1058 of the family's 1533-position model. The record is from RNAcentral.